CCUACGGGAGGCAGCAGUCGGGAAUUUUGGGCAAUGGGCGCAAGCCUGACCCAGCAACGCCGCGUGAAGGAUGAAAUCCCUCGGGAUGUAAACUUCGCAAGAACGGGAAGAAUAAGUAAGAGUUAAUAUCUCUUACGAUGACGGUACUGUUUGUAAGCUCCGGCUAACUCCGUGCCAGCAGCCGCGGUAAU
RNAcentral lists this ribosomal RNA (191 nucleotides) under uncultured bacterium. RNAcentral describes it as "partial 16S ribosomal RNA". It matches the Rfam family "Bacterial small subunit ribosomal RNA", at positions 338 to 524 of the family's 1533-position model. The record is from RNAcentral.